GGGGCUGAUUAGGAUUCGACAGGAUCUAGGAAGCUGGAGGUGCAUGCAGAGGUGCGGUUUGCCUCUUUAAAAAGCCGCAUUUAAAUAGUCGCAAACGACGAAAACUACGCACUAGCCGCUUAAUAACCGGUAUAGGCCCUUCCACCUAAGCUCUGUCUGCUAGCCAGGAUUUCGGAAGGUCAUUAAAGCAAACUAGCGAGGGAAACUCUCCUGAGGUUGAACCGCGAAAUAGUAUCAGGACAGCUACCAGGAACCCUGUUUGUCGGGGUCCAAAGUAGUUAAAUAAAAGACAAACUAAGCAUGUAGUACCAAAGGUAGACAUUUUCUGGACGCGGGUUCAAAUCCCGCCAGCUCCACCA
Molecule: non-coding RNA, 359 nt
Rfam family: transfer-messenger RNA
About the family: Bacterial tmRNA, also known as 10Sa RNA or SsrA, is named for its dual tRNA and mRNA-like properties.
Source: Rfam